CACACCAGAAGAGGCCGCGGCUGCCAAGCAAGAUGGAGCAAAAUCUGCUUCUGCUGCAUUAAAGUACAAUGCCAUCUCUCAGCAGGCAAAUGGUAAAGGUUCUUCUACCUCCCUAGGCAGGAAAGAAGCAGCCAAUACUUUAGCCGCCGCACACUAUGCCGCCACCGAGAAGUCCAUCAAGAAGGCCGAAACCACCAAGACACCUGCAAAGGUCGUGGCUGCCAAGCGAGACGCAGCAAAGUCUGUUGAUGAUGCAUUAAAGUAUGGUGCCAUCUCUCGGAAAGCAGCUGGUACAAGUUCUUCUACCUCCCCCAAUAAGAAAGAAGGCACCACUGAUGCUGCUAAGAUGUUCACCAAGAAGGCUGAAACCGCUACCACACCUGAAGAGGCCGCGGCUGCCAAGCAAGCUGCAGCCAAGUCUACCGCUGCUGCAUCAAAGUAUGGUGUCAUUUCUCAGCAAGUAGCUGGUACAAGUUCUUCUACCUCCCCUAGCAGGAAAGAAGCUGCCGGUACCUUGGCAGAUGCUCGCAUAGCUGCUGCCGAGAAGUCCAUCAAGAAGGCUGAAACCGCCACAAGACCUGAAGAGGCAGCAUCCGCUAAGAAGGAUGCCACAAAAUCCGAGGCUGAUGCAAUGAAGUACGGGGCCAUCUCUCAGCAGGCCGCCGGCAAAAAUGGUGCCUAAGUGGUGCCUUAAACACCUAUUCACACGCAACAUCAUCUACAUACUACCAUGCAUGCAAAAUAGCAGCAUUCAGAUACCACAUUAUGCUAAUUCUCAUGCAUGCACACUUUGUUUAAACGUUCCCAUUACGAAUCAUGUAUUAAUGUCUUGCUUGUUUUAUUUUUAGUAGUAAGACAUGCUUGACUUGCUUUAAAAAAAAUACAACAAUCGAUGUAUACAUGUAUUAUCUAAAAAUCAGUAAUAUGAGUUCCACCGCAAUUUGUUUCUUUUUGUCAUAAUUUGGGUGCAAUCAAUGCACACAUCCAAUACACAAAAUUGGACGACUCAAUGUGUUGUGGCUCCAUGGAGCGGCGAAUCAUGUUUUAUUGUCUUGCUUGUUUUACUUUUAGUAGUAAUGUCUUGCUGGUCAAUGUAUUAUGGCUCCAUGGAGCGGCAUAAUGAUAUAUGAUAUAUCUUCACUACUUCAAAAAGAACUUAAGGUUUCGUCAUACAUCUUUCCUUCAUCCAUCCUCCCUACGAAUCCUUCCUGUUUUGAUUUUUUUCUCCCAUCUUUGAUUUUUCUCCCCAUUGAUUCUACCUAAAAACCACCUCAAUGUCACAUGUUUACUGUAUAUGUCAAGGCCUCCUUUGGUUCAUAGGGUAGAAAAAAACAUAGGAAUAGGAAAGUCAUAGGAAAUGAGAUGACAUGUAUCUCAAAUCCUAUGAUUGGGAAUAGGAAAGGAGAUGCCCUUUGAUUCACAUCAUAGGAUUUUUUCAUUGAAUCUAGGCUAAUGUUUAUUUUCCUAUGAAAUGUGAAGGAGAGGAAGAAUUCCUCCAUAGGAUUAGGAUUCCAUUCCUACAAACCAAAGGACUCUAAAGGAAUUUUUUCUAUAGAAAUCCUAUCCUAUGAAAUUCUUACAAGAUUCCUCCAAAUCAAAGGAGGCCCAAGUGGUUGUGAUGAGACAGUGGCUGGGCACUUCAGAUUUAUUCCCGUAACUGACUGUCAAAUUGAGUCAUCUGUCGUCCUUUCGAUGAUUGUAAGAAAGUUAUAUGUUUACUGUAUGUGCCAAUUGGUUGUGAUUAUCGUUACCGGCCACAAAGUUAUAUUUUCUUGUCUUAACGAAGGGUUGCAUACAAUGCGUGUAGCUCUUGACGCCUGAUAACCCACAAGUAUAGGGGAUCGCAACAGUUUUUGAGGGUAGAGUAUUCAACACAAAUUUAUAGAUUCGACACAAGGGGAGCCAAAGAAUAUUUGUAAGUAUUAACAGCUGAGUUAUCAAUUCAACCACACCUGGAGAUUAAUUAUCUGCAGCAAAGUGAUCAGUAGCAUAGUAGUAUGAUAGUUUUGAUAGUAGUAGCAACAUCAACAGUAACGGUAAUAGUGGUAGCAAUGGUUUUGUAGCAGUGACAAUAGUAACAGCAGCAGUAGUAACUUAGCAAGAACAAUAUGUACGAAAAUCGUACGCAUUGGAUCGGUGAUUUGUUGGAUGAUAUUCAUCAUGUGACAGUUACAACCUAGGACGAUACGGCACUAGCUCCAGUUCAUAAAUAUAAUGUAGGCAUGUAUUCUAUAAAUAAUCAUACGUGCUUAUGGAAAGAACUUGUAUGACAUCUUUUGUCCUACCCUCCUGUGGCAGCGGUGUCCUAUUGGAAACUAAGGGAUAUUAAGGCCUCCUUUUAAUAGAGAACCAGAACAAAGCAUUAACACACGGUGAAUACAUGAACUCCUCAAACUACGGUCAUCACAGGGAAGUGUCCCGACUAUUGUCACUCCGGGGUUGCCGGAUCAUAACACGUAGUAGGUAACUAUAACUUGCAAGAUUGGAUCUAGAACAUAGAUAUAAUGGUGAUAACAUAAGUCAUAGCAACAUCAAUCUCAGAACAUAAUGGAUACUCGGGAUGAAGCCCUAACAAAACUAACUCAAUUACAUGAUGAAUCUCAUCCAACUCCUCACCGACCAGCGAGCCUACGAAGGAAUUACUCACUCCUGGUGGGGAGCAUCAUGGAAUUGGCGAUGGAGAAGGGUUGGUGAUGACGAAGAUCGAAGACCCCCCUCUCUGGAGCCCCAAACGGACUCCAAAUCUAGCCUCCCGAUGAAGAACAGGAGAUGACGGCGGCUCUGUCUCGUGGAUCGUGAUAAUUCUUUCUUCCUGAUUUUUUCUGGAAAAAUAGGAUUUUAUAGCGUCGGAUUCAGGGCCUGCGGGGCCACCAGGUGGGGACAACCCACCUGGGUGUGCUUGGAGGGGGGGGGCCUGGUGGGUUGUGCCCAUCCAGGUGCCCCCCUCCGGUUGUUCUUGGCUCCAGAAAUUCUCUGUAUUUGUAUAAAAAUUCCUCGCAAAGUUUUGUUCCAAUCCGAAAACUUUUAUUUCUGCACAAAAAAAACACCAUGGUAGUUUUGUUGGAAACAGCGUCAGUCCGGGUUAGUUUCAUUCAAAUCAUGCAAAUUAGAGUGCAAAACAAGAGGAAAGUGUUAGGAAAAGUAGAUACGACGGAGAUGUAUCAACUCCUCCAAGCUUAAACCUUUGCUUGUCCUCAAGCAAUUCAGUUGAUAAACUGAAAGUGAAAAAAAAAUUACGAACUCUUUUGCUCUUGUUUUCAUAAAUAAGCUUAAACAUCACCCAGUGUCGAUGUCAAAACCGGCGGAUCUCGGAUAGGGGGUCCCGAACUGUGCGUCUAGGCGGAUGGUAACAGGAGACAAGGGACACGAUGUUUACCCAGGUUCGGGCCCUCUCGAUGGAGGUAAAACCCUACUCCUGCUUGAUUAAUAUUGAUGAUAUGGGCAGUACAAGAGUAGAUCUACCACGAGAUCAAGGAGGCUAAACCCUAGAAGGUAGCCUAUGGUAUGAUUGUUGUUGUCCUACAGACUAAAACUCUCUGGUUUAUAUAGACACCGGAGAGGGUUAGGGUUACACAGAGUCGGUUACAAUGGUAGGAGAUCUACAUAUCUGUAUCGCCAAGCUUGCCUUCCACGCCAAGGAAAGUCCCUUCCAGACACGGGAAGAAGUCUUCAAUCUUGUAUGUUCAUAGUCCGGGAGUCCGGCUGAAGGUAUCGUCCGGCUAUCCGGACACCCCCUAAUUCAGGACUCCCUUAGAGCCCCCGAACCAGGCUUCAAUGACGACGAGUCUGGCACGCAAAUUGUCUUCGGCAUUGCAAGGCGGGUUCUCCUUCAAUUUCUGUGUACCUGCUGAAUAAUGUCCGGUUUCUUAUAAAUGUAGCGCUCCUCGGCUUCCACGCCCAAUAAUGGCCGUCUUCCACGUGUCAAAUGAAUACGAAAAGUCUGGGUGUUUUUACAUUCACACCCCCAGCCGCGUAAAUGAGCCGCCUAUUUAAAGGGACGGGGAUUUAGAUCCAAACCACACCUUCUCCUCUCCGCGAGUUUCAUCAGAGCGCAUCCGACAAAGGACCGUUCCAUCAUGGCCAGCCGUCGCAGCUCCUCCUCUCGCCCUUCCAGCCCUCAUCCUGGAGAUUGGGAGAGAUGCUCCGUCCCGCACAGCGAGCUAGUGUCGCUUCGGACCAAAGGGAUUUCUUCCUCCGGCCUAUAUGGUCCCGGUUCGAGCCGGACUUGCCACCUAUAAUGGCGGAGAGCAAGUGGAGAGCGCCCCCAAUCCCUCCAAAGGAGAGCGGGUAUGCCUUGUCCCUUAUUUAAUAAGAGGGCUCGGAUUUCCAAUUCAUCCAUUUCUCCGGGGGCUCCUGGAGUUCUAUGGCCUCCAGCUGCACAACCUCACGCCUGUCUCCGUAUUGCAUAUUGCGGGCUUCGUAGCCCUUUGCGAGUUGUUUUUGGGUGUUGAGGCUCAUUUCGCGCUGUGGAAGAGGCUAUUCUGCCUUGUGCCCUGUUCUUAGGAGGGGUCAAUAUAUCAAGUGGGCGGAGCCAAAGUGUGGUGUAUCGCCGGGACCGGAUAUCUAUCCGGAACCCCAAAGAAGGCGUCUGAGGACUGGCCUUCAGAAUGGUUUUAUAUAGAGGACGUCCCGUUGCCGGAUCCUGUUCGGAUCGGCCUCCCUGAGUUCAACAGCGCUCCCCUAAAGAAAAACCUAAGCUGGCGCCCACGGAGCCCUCAGAGAGAAAGUGACAAGGACAUUCUUUACCUGAUGGGCCGGAUAAGAUUAUUAGCUCAUUCCGGACUAACCAUGAUCGGAGUCAUGGCUGCAUGCAUCAUGCGAGGGGUGCAACCGCUUCAGUACAGAGGCCACCCCAUGUGGGACUUCAACGGGGAGGAUGAUGCCACCCGUCACGGCCGUAAGGGGCCGGACUCGGCUACCGCUCUAGUAAAGAUCUUGUCCGCUUUGUACAAGGGAGAAGAGGAGGAAUUUCUCCGCGUCAACCCACAGGGUGGAUUUACCAUGUACAAUCCCCCAAGUUGGGUAAGUGGGCAAUUUUACUUGCACGUCUGUUUUGUAUUCCCAUCAUUAAAUAUAUAGUCUAACGACUUCAACGCAGGAACUGCGCCUGGAAGUAAAGGACAUAAAUAGCCCGCCUCCACAGCCCGAGGACCCAGAGUUGUCCCUCGAUCCGGCCUCCGAAGAGGAUCCGGACUUAUCCAUGGAGUUAAUUGAUGGGGUGUUUUAUCAAUUGAGCAAGGACAAUGCCUUGGUGGCCAUUAAGGCCGAUUACCCGGGGCUGCUCCCGGCCUCCCAGGUAACUGAGACCGAAGUCCUAGCACCUCAAAAAGGGAUCCGCCCUCGCGUGUUUUUCAGUUUCCUGACAACAACCGUGUUUUGCAGGGGAGGUUCUUGAGACGGGAGGCCGAGCCUGCGGCGACUAGCCAACGAGGGGCUACAGGGCCCCGUGGGAUGAAAAGAAGUGCAGUCCGGAUUGAGGCGCCGGCGCAGAGGUAUAGCACGCCUUCUUAUUCCCAGGUGUUAUUCCUUCAAGGCAUAUUAACACUCGUGCUCUUUUCAGGACAAAAAGACCCCGCCGGACUAUAUCUGGAGAGGCUGCCAAUCGCGCCUCCACCAGCCAGGCUCCAAAGCCUGGUCCGGAGACGGAGGCGAACACGAGGCGCGCACCGGACGCUCCUCCAACAGAGGAUGCGGACAGGCUGUCCGCCACUAAUUCCGAGGUGGAGAGUGCCAUGAACCACAGGCGUCGCCGGACAGUUCUUCGCGACGCUUGUUUCUCCCAAGAGGCAUUGGACGCCUUCAAUUCGGGAGAUGCGUACCUCCGUGCCGCUCAAAAUGGUCUAGCCAGAGCCACGGAGCAAUAUGUAAAAGACAUACAGGUGAGAAAAUUUAAUGGUUAUAUAUAUCAGUAGCCCCCGAGACUUGAAACAGUUAGAAGAACUGAUUUAAGGAUCAUUCAUAAUGCAGGUUCUUGCGGAAAAGAAUACCCAACUGUCCCAGGAGCUAGAAGAGUGCAAAGCCCAACUUGAGGCCGCACUAGCCGCGACAGGGGAGCCCAAGGAGACCCCCUCUGGUAAUAUGUGCUUCAAAAAGAGAAGUAUUUUGUGAAGUGCGGCGUUUGUGCAAAUCUGACAAAUGAAAUUGCAGAUGGCGCCGGAUUAGAUCCGGAAAAGCAACAACUCCUACGCCAGCUAAAGGCUGGUGAGAGCGUGCUGACAAAGGUGAGGUGGGAGAAGAACGAUCUCCAAUAUGCCAACACCAAGCUGGGCGUUGAACUGAAAGAUGUUUGUGCCCAGCUGUCGGACUCCGCUAAGGAGAAUCAGCGGCUUCGACGCGGCAUAUUUAGUAAGUGCUUAAACGAACUUUGAAUAAAGAGUUCGACGAGGAAGUCGACUAACGGAGUAAUGUCUGUAGGUAUGCUAACAGGUCGUCCUGCAGAGGAGAUGCCCGGUUCUAUGGGUGACCUUCUUCCCGAGCUCUUGCAACUGCACGAGCGAGUUCGGCAGGUGAUGCAGGGCGUCGCCCAGGCCUUGUGGCCAUCCAUCUCCAUGCCCGAAGGACUUGGAGAGCUUGCAGAGAAGCUGAAGGGAGCGCGGCGGCGCUUCUGAUUGUGGAAGAUAUCGGCCUGCGUCAAGGCGCUAGGGAGGCAUGGGCCAUGGUGAAGACGCGGUACACGAAGGCUGACCCAAACCACAUGGCCGAGGUCGGACCUGUGGGGCCCGAUGGGAAGGAGAUCCCUGUAAGCUUCGUAUACGGCUAAGUAGAAUUGGCCGCAAAGUAUUCCCAGCAGGACUGUAAGCUAGACAGCCUGUUAGAUGGUAUUGAAGAGGAAUACAAUCAGUCAUAAUGACUAUGUAAUUUUAAUUGACAUGUGUAAUGCCUUCUAGCCAGAUUGUAGAUCAUUUUUCAUGGCCGACCUUUUUGCUUCGACCUCGGGACCUGCGGUCUGGAGUGUGUCCGAAUACCCUUGCGGUUAUAUAAGAACCGGGGUAUGCAUGGAGACUAGGCGUAGGGGUCAUUAGUGCUUGAACAGACAAGUGCCCGACUAGUUAUGUUAUAUUACAUGGUUAGUAAGAAACAUCUUCCAGGGAGAAUAGUUCCGUUAGGGGUUCCUUUCCCUGGGAGGCAUGCCCUAAAGUGCAUGUCCAUUCUGCGAAAAAGAGACGCAGGAAAAAACAUCUGGGGGCGCAUAGAUAAAUAAGUGAAAAAAUCAUCUUUAGUUCACCGACCGAAUAUUUCCUUAAGAACGCUAGCUUUCGGCUUCACCCAGUCUGAGGUACACAUCGGGCUGACCCGGCAGUAACAAUCGCAGAGGUGCUCCCUUUACCACCUAGCCGAACAAUCGGGAACAUAGGGGUAAGCACAGGAGCCAGGCAACCCAGCUUGGCCAAAAAUUAAGUCAUAUCGAUGCAUAUGAUGGUGAAUAAAAGGUACAUGCGGAAGUGUGACACAUGUGUUGGGCAUGAAGCCCGUAUAAGCUUCUGUUCAAAGAAGCCCCCAGGUUUAGUGAGCGUGGAUAGCGCGUCACUUGAUGAGCCUUUAAAGGCUAUAAGAGAAAGGAGGGGGAGAAGGAGAAAAUGGAAGACAGAAAAUAUAAAAAAUGGACAGAGGAAGGAGACGAACAUAGAGUCCGGCGCUAGGCAUAGAAUCUUCGGAGACGGGCUGCGUUCCAUGGGUUCGGUUCGAGUCGGUUAUCCGAUGCAUCUCGCAGGCGGUAUGCUCCACCAGUCAGGACUUGGUCAAUUAUGAAGGGACCUUCCCACUUGGGCUGGAGUUUGUCCUUUUUCUUGUCCGGCAGGCGUAGAACUAGUUCGCCAACAUUGUAAUUUUUGGCCCGUACUUCUCUGCUUUGAUAUCUUCGAGCCUGCUGUUGAUAGAAUGCGGAACGGGCUUUUGCCACGUCACGCUCCUCCUCCAAGGCAUCUAAACUGUCCUGCCGAUCGAGCUCGGCUUCUCUUUCUUCGUACAUGCGCACUCAAGGUGAGUCAUGAAUUAUAUCGCAGGGCAAAACUGCUUCUGCACCGUACACCAUGAAGAAUGGUGUGUAUCCGGUGGUGCGAUUCGACGUGGUCCGCAGCCCCCAGAGUACGGAGUCGAGCUCCUCUACCCAGUGCGUGUUAGAUUCCUUAAGGUACCGCACUAAUCUGGGUUUGAUGCCGCUCAUGAUAAGACCAUUUGCGUGUUCGACCUGUCCGUUAGUUUGUGGGUGAUAGACGGAAGCAUAAUCGAGCUUGAUGCCCAUGUUUUUGCACCAGAGUUUUACCUCAUCGACCGUAAAGUUCGUACCGUUAUCAGUGAUGAUGCUGUGGGGGACGCCGUAACGGUGUACGACCCCCGAUAUAAAGUCUAUCACCGGUCCGGAUUCGGCCGUCUUAAUAGGCUUGGCCUCUAUCCAUUUGGUGAACUUAUCCACCAUGACCAGUAAGUAUUUUUUCUUCUGGGUUCCGCCUUUAAGGGGUCCAACCAUGUCAAGCCCCCAGACCGCGAAGGGCCAAGUGAUGGGGAUAGUUUGGAGGGCGGUGGGUGGCAUAUGGCUUUGGUUUGGCAAAAGCUGGCAACCGACGCAUCGUUGGACUAAGUCCUGAGCGUCUGCCCGGGCCGUUGGCCAAUAAAAGCCUGUACGGAAAGUCUUGCUUACGAGGGACCGAGUUGCGGUGUGAUGACCAUCGAGUCCGGCAUGAAUUUCAGCCAGCAAGUUCCGCCCAUCCUCCUCGGAGAUGCACCUUUGAAGGACUCCGGUAGUGCUUUUCUUAUAAAGCUCUCCCUCAUGGACUUUAUAGGCUUUAGAUCGCCGCACUAUGCAGCGUGCCUCAUUUUGGUCUUCUGGGAGUUCCUGCCUAGUAAGGUAGGCUAGGAAUGGUUCUGUCCACGGGGCGAUGACCGCCAUUAUUACGUGGGCUGAAGAUGUGACUUCAUUGGCAGAAUCUCCAAUUAUGUCAGUGUUGGGUAACGUAGCAGAAAUUCAAAAUUUUCCUACGUGUCACCAAGAUCUAUCUAUGGAGAAACCAGCAACGAGGGGAAGGAGAGUGCAUCUACAUACCCUUGUAGAUCGCUAAGCGGAAGCGUUCAAGAGAACGGGGUUGAAGGAGUCGUACUCGUCGUGAUCCAAAUCACCGAUGAUCCUAGUGCCGAACGGACGGCACCUCCGCGUUCAACACACGUACAGCCCGGUGACGUAUCCCACGCCUUGAUCCAGCAAGGAGAGAGGGAGAGGUUGAGGAAGACUCCAUCCAGCAGCAGCACAACGGCGUGGUGGUGGUGGAGGAGCGUGGCAAUCCUGCAGGGCUUCGCCAAGCACCACGGGAGAGGAGGAAGGAGAGAUGCAGGGCUGCGUCAUAUAGAAGAGAGGAACUCGCGUCUUAUGAGCAGCCCAAACCUCAACUAUAUAUAGGGGAAGGGGAGAGGCUGCGGCCCCUUUAGGGUUUCCACCCCUAGGGGUGGCGGCCAGCCUAGAUCCCAUCUAAGGGAGGCGGCCAAGGGGGAGGGGGAGAGGGAGGCGCACCAGGAUGGGCCUUAGGGCCCAUCUGCCCUAGGGUUUGCCCCCUUCUCCUCUCCCUUGCACCUUGGGCCCUUGUGGGGGGGGGGGCGCACCAGCCCACCUGGGGCUGGUCCCCUUCCACACUUGGCCCAUGAAGCCCUCCGGGGCUGGUUUGCCCCACUUGGUGGACCCCCGGGACCCUCCCGGUGGUCCCGGUACGUCACCGAUAAACCCCGAAACUUUUCCGGUGACCAAAACAGGACUUCCCAUAUAUAAAUGUUUACCUCCGGACCAUUCCAGAACUCCUCGUGACGUCCGAGAUCUCAUCCGGGACUCCGAACAACAUUCGGUAACCACAUACAAACUUCCUUUAUAACCCCAGCGUCAUCGAACCUUAAGUGUGUAGACCCUACGGGUUUGGGAGACAUGCAGACAUGACCGAGACGUUCUCUGGUCAAUAACCAAUAGCGGGAUCUGGAUACCCAUGUUGGCUCCCACAUGUUCCACGAUGAUCUCAUCGGAUGAACCACGAUGUCAAGGACUUAAUCAAUCCCGUAUACAAUUCCCUUUGUCUAUCGGUACGAUACUCGCCCGAGAUUCGAUCGUCGGUAUCCCGAUACCUUGUUCAAUCUCAUUACCGGCAAGUCUCUUUACUCGUUCCGUAACACAUCAUCCCGUGAUCAACUCCUUGAUCACAUUGUGCACAUUAUGAUGAUGUCCUACCGAGUGGGCCCAGGGAUACCUCUCCGUCACACGGAGUGAUAAAUCCCAGUCUCGAUUCGUGCCAACCCAACAGACACUUUCAGAGAUACCCGUAGUGUACCUUUAUAGCCACCCAGUUACCUUGUGACGUUUGGCACACCCAAAGCACUCCUACGGUAACCGGGAGUUGCACAAUCUCAUGGUCUAAGGAAAUGAUACUUGACAUUAGAAAAGCUUUAGCAUACGAACUACACGAUCUAGUGCUAUGCUUAGGAUUGGGUCUUGUCCAUCACAUCAUUUUCCUAAUGAUGUGAUCCCGUUAUCAACGACAUCCAAUGUCCAUGGUCAGGAAACCGUAACCAUCUAUUGAUCAACGAGCUAGUCAACUAGAGGCUUACUAGGGACAUGGUGUUGUCUAUGUAUCCACACAUGUAUCUGAGUUUCCUAUCAAUAUAAUUCUAGCAUGGAUAAUAAACGAUUAUCAUGAACAAGGAAAUAUAAUAAUAAUCAAUUUAUUAUUUCCUCUAGGGCAUAUUUCCAACAGUCUCCCACUUGCACUAGAGUCAAUAAUCCAGUUCACAUCGUUAUGUGACUAACACUCAAGGUCACAUCCCCAUGUGACUAACACCCAAAGAGUUUACUAGAGUCAAUAAUCUAGUUCACAUUUACCAUGUGAUUAACACUCGAUGAGUUCUGGGUUUGAUCAUGUUAUGCUUGUGAGAGAGGUUAUAGUCAACGGGUCUGAACCUUUCAGAUCCGUGUGUGCUUUACAAAUCUCUAUGUCAUCUCCUAGAUGCAGCUACCACGCUCUAUUUGGAGCUAUUCCAAAUAACUGUUCUACUAUACGAAUCCAGUUUACUACUCAGAAUAAUCUGGAUUAGUGUCAAAGUUUGCAUCGGCGUAACCCUUUACGACGAACUCUUUUACCACCUCCAUAAUCGAGAAAAUUCCUUAGUCCACUAGUUACUAAGGAUAACUUUGAUCGCUGUCCUGUGAUCCAUUCUUGGAUCACUCUUGUACCCCUUGACUGACUCAUGGCAAGGCACACUUCAGGUGCGGUACAUAGCAUAGCAUACUGUAGAGCCUAUGUCUUAAGCAUAGGGGACGACCUUCGUUCUUUCUCUCUAUUCUGCCGUGGUCAAGCUUUAAGUCUUAACUUCAUACCUUACAACUCAGGCAAGAACUCCUUCUUUGACUGAUCCAUCUUGAACACCUUCAAGAUCAUGUCAAGGAAUGUGCUCAUUUGAAAGUACCAUUAAGUGUUUUGAUCUAUCCUUAUAGAUCUUGAUGCUCAAUGUUCAAAUAGCUUAAUCCAGGCUUUCCAUUGAAAAAACACUUUCCAAAUAACCCUAUAUGCUUUCCAGAAAUUCUACGUCAUUUCUGAUCAACAAUAUGUCAACAACAUAUAUUCAUCAGAAAUUCUAUAGUGCUCCCACUCACUUCUUUGGAAAUACAAGUUUCUCAUAAACUUCGUAUUCACCCAAAAUCUUUGAUCAUCUCAUCAAAGCAUACAUUCCAACUCGAGAUGCUUACUCCAGUACUUAGAAGGAUUGCUGGAGCUUUGCAUACUUAUUAGCAUAUUUCAGGAUUGACAAAACCUUCCGGUUGUAUCACAUACAACCUUUCCUCAAAAAUCAUCGAGGAAACAAUGUUUUGACAUCCUAUCUGCAAGAUUUCAUAAAUGAUGCAGUAAUUGCUAAUAUAAUUCCAACAGACUCUUAGCAUCGCUACGAGUGAGAAAGUCUCAUCGUAGUCAACUCCUUGAACUUGUCGGAAAACAUCUUAAUGACAAGUCGAGCUUUCUUAAUGGUGAUACUUACCAUCAUUGUCCGUCUUCCUUUUAAAAUCCAUAUGUACCUAACAGCCUUACGACCAUCAAGUUGUUCUUCCAAAGUCUACACUUUGUUUUCACAUAUGGAUCCUCUCUCGGAUUAUAUGGCCUUGAGCCAUUUUGGAAUCCAGGCCCACCAUUGCUCCUCCAUAGCUCGUAGGUUCAUUGUUGUCUAGCAACAUGACUUCCAAGACAGGAUUACGUACCAUUCUAAAGCAGUACACAUCCUUGUCAUCCCACGAGGUUUGGUAGUGACUUGAUCUGAAGUUUCAUGAUCACUAUCAUAAGCUUCCACUUCAAUUGGUGUAGGUGCCACAGGAACAACUCCCUGUGCCCUGCCACACACUAGUUGAAGAGAUGGUUCAAUAACCUCAUCAAGUCUCCACCAUCCUCCCACUCAAUUCUUUCGAGAGAAACUUUUCCUCGAGAAAGGACCCGAUUCUAGUAACAAUCCCUUAUUGCUUUCGAAUCUGAGACAGGAGGUAUACCCAACUGUUUUGGGUGUCCUAUGAAGAUGUAUUUAUCCGCUUUGGGUUCGAGCUUAUCGACCUGAAACUUUUUCACAUAAGCGUCGCAGCCCCAAACUUUUAAGAAAUGACAGCUUAGGUUUCUCUAAACCAUAGUUCAUACGGUGUCAUCUCAUCGGAAUUACGUGGUGCCCUAUUUAAAGUGAAUGUGGUUGUCUCUAAUGCCUAACCCAUAAACUAUUGUGGUAAUUCGAUAAGAGACAUCAUGGUAUGCAUCAUAUCCAAUAGGGUGCAGUUAUGAUGUUCGGACACACCAUCACACUAUGGUGUUCCAGGCUGUAUCAGUUGUGAAACAAUUUCCACAAUGUCUUAAUUCUGUGCCAAACUCGUAAUUCAGAUAUUCAUCUCUAUGAUCAUAUCAUAGAUAUUUUAUCCUCUUGUCACGAUGAUCUUUCAACUUCACCCUGAAAUUACUUGAACCUUUCAAUAAUUCAAACUCAUGAUUCAUCAAGUAAAUAUACUCAACAUCUACUCAAAUCAUCUGUGAAGUAAGAACAUAACGAUAUCCACUACAUUCCUCAGCACUCAUUGGACUGCACACAUCAAAAUGUAUUACUUCCAACAAGUUGCUUUCUAGUUCCAUUUUACUGAAACCGAGGCUUUCAGUCAUCUUGCCCAUGUGGUAUGAUUUGCAUGUCUCAAGUGAUUCAAAAUCAAGUGAGUCCAAAUGGUCCAUUUGCAUGGAGUUUCUUCAUGCAUAUACACCAAUAGACAUGGUUCGCAUGUCUCAAACUUUUCAAAAAUGAGUGAGCCCAAAGAUCCAUCAACAUGGAGCUUCUUCAUGCGUUUUAUACUGAUAUGACUUACGUGGCAGUGCCACAAGUAGGUGGUACUAUCAUUACUAUCUUAUAUCUUUUGGCAUGAACAUGUGUAUCACUACGAUCAAGAUUCAAUAAACCAUUCAUUUUAGGUGCAAGACCAUUGAAGGUAUUAUUCAAAUGAACAGAGUAACCAUUAUUCUCCUUAAAUGAAUAGCCGUAUCGCGAUAGACAUAAUCCAAUCAUGUCUAUGCUCAACGCAAACACCAAAUAACAAUUAUUUAGGUUUAACACCAAUCUCGAUGGUAGAGGGAGCGUGCGAUGCUUGAUCAUAUCAACAUUGGAAACACUUCCAACACAUAUCGUCAGCUCACCUUUAGCUAGUCUCCGUUUAUUCCGUAGCUUUUAUUUCAAGUUACUAACACUUAGCAACCGAACCGGUAUCUAAUACCCUGGUGCUACUAGGAGUACCAGUAAAGUACACAUUAACACAAUGUAUAUCCAAUAUACUUCUAUCGACCUUGCCAGCCUUCUCUUCUACCAAGUAUCUAGGGUAAUUCUGCUCCAGUGGCUGUUCCCCUUAUUACAGAAGCACUUAAUUAGUCUCGGGUUUGGGUUCAACCUUGGGUUUCUUCACUAGAGCAGCAGCUAAUUUGCCGUUUCAUGAAGUAUCCCUUCUUGCCCUUGCCCUUCUUGAAACUAGUGGUUUCACCAACCAUCAACAAUUGAUGCUCCUUCUUGAUUUCUACUUUUGUGGUGUCAAACAUCGCGAAUAUCUCAAGGAUCAUCAUAUAUGUCCCUGAUAUAUUAUAGUUCAUCACGAAGCUCUAGCAGCUUGGUGGUAAUGACUUCGGAGAAACAUCACUUUCUCAUCUGGAAGAUCAACUCCCACUCGAUUCAAAUGAUUGUUGUACUCAGACAAUCUGAGCACAAGCUCAACAAUUGAGCUUUUCUCCCUUAGUUUGCAGGCUAAGAAAAUUGUCGGAGGUCUUAUACCUCUUGACAUGGGCACGAGCCUGAAAUCCAAAUUUCAGCCCUCGAAACAUCUCAUAUGUUUUGCGACGUUUCAAAACGUCUUUGGUGCCUCAACUCUAAACCGUUUAACUGAACUAUCACGUAGUUAUGAAAAUGUGUAUGUCAGAUGUUCGCAACAUCCACAGACAACGUUCGAGGUUCAGCACACUGAGCGGUGCAUUAAGGACAUAAGCCUUCUAUGAAGCAAUGAGGACAAUCCUCAGUUUACGGACCUAGUCCGCAUAAUUGCUACUAUCAACUUUCAACUAUUUUUUUUUCUCUAGGAACAUAUCUAAACAGUAGAACUAAAGCGCGAGCUACGACAUAAUUUGCAAAAUCCUUUUGACUAUGUUCAGGAUAAACAAGUUCAUCUUAUGAACUUCCACUCAGAUAGAUAUCCCUCUAGUCAUCUAAGUGAUUACAUGAUCCGAGUCAACUAGGCCGUGUUCGAUCAUCACGUGAGACGGACUAGUCAUCAUCGGUGAACAUCUUCAUGUUGAUCGUAUCUACCAUACGACUCAUGCUCGACCUUUCGGUCUCUUGUGUUCCGAGGCCAUGUCUGUACAUGCUAGGCUCAUCAAGUCAACCUAAGUGUUUCGCGUGUGUAAAUCUGUCUUACACCCGUUGUAUGUGAACGUUAGAAUCUAUCACGCCCGAUCAUCACGUGGUGCUUCGAAACGACGAACUUUCGCAACGGUGCAUAGUUAGGGGGAACACUUUCUUGAAAUUUUAAUGAGGGAUCAUCUUAUUUACUACUGUCGUUCUAAGCAAAUAAGAUGUAUAAACAUGAUAAACAUCACAUGCAAUCAAAUAGUGAUAUGAUAUGGCCAAUAUCAUAGUGCUCCUUUUGAUCUCCAUCUUCGGGGCUCCAUGAUCAUCAUCACCGGCAUGACACCAUGAUCUCCAUCAUCAUGAUCUCCAUCAUCGUGUCUUCAUGAAGUUGUCUCGCCAACUAUUACUUCUACUACUACAGCUAACUGUUAGCAAUAAAGUGAAGUAAUUACAUGGCGUUGUUUAAUGACACGCAGGUCAUAUAAUAAAUUAAGACAACUCCUAUGGCUCCUGCCGGUUGUCAUACUCAUCGACAUGCAAGUCGUGAUUCCUAUUACAAGAACAUGAUCAAUCUCAUACAUCACAUAUCAUUCAUCACAUUCUUCUUGGCCAUAUCACAUCACAUAGCAUACCCUGCAAAAACAAGUUAGACGUCCUCUAAUUGUUGUUUGCAUGUUUUACGUGGCUGCUAUGGGUUUCUAGCAAGAACGUUUCUUACCUACGCAAAACCACAACGUGAUAUGCCAAUUGCUAUUUACCCUUCAUAAGGACCCUUUUCAUCGAAUCCGAUCCGUCUAAAGUGGGAGAGACAAACACCCGCCAGCCACCUUAUGCAACUAGUGCAUGUUUGUCGAUGGAACCGGUCUCACGUAAGCGUAUGUGUAAGGUUGGUCCGGGCCGCUUCAUCCCACAAUGCCGCCGAAUCAAGAUUGGACUAGUAACGGUAAGCAUAUUGAACAAAAUCAACGCCCACAACUACUUUGUGUUCUACUCGUGCAUAGAAUCUACGCAAUAGACCUAGCUCAUGAUGCCACUGUUGGGUAACGUAGCAGAAAUUCAAAAUUUUCCUAUGUGUCACCAAGAUCUAUCUAUGGAGAAACCAGCAACGAGGGGAAGGAGAGUGCAUCUACAUACCCUUGUAGAUCGCUAAGCAGAAGCGUUCAAGAGAACGUGGUUGAAGGAGUCGUACUCGUCAUGAUCCAAAUCACCGAUGAUCCUAGUGCCGAACGGAUGACACCUCUGCGUUCAACACACGUACAGCCCGGUGACGUAUCCCACGCCUUGAUCCAGCAAGGAGAGAGGGAGAGGUUGAGGAAGACUCCAUCCAGCAGCAGCACAACGGCGUGGUGGUGGUGGAGGAGCGUGGCAAUCCUGCAGGGCUUCGCCAAGCACCACGGGAGAGGAGGAAGGAGAGAUGCAGGGCUGCGUCAUAUAGAGGAGAGGAACUCGCGUCUUAUGAGCAGCCCAAACCUCAACUAUAUAUAGGGGAAGGGGAGGGGCUGCGACCCCUUUAGGGUUUCCACCCCUAGGGGUGGCGGCCAGCCUAGAUCCCAUCUAAGGGAGGCGGCCAAGGGGGAGGGGGAGAGGGAGGCGCACCAGGAUGGGCCUUAGGGCCCAUCUGCCCUAGGGUUUGCCCCCUUCUCCUCUCCCUUGCGCCUUGGGCCCUUGUGGGGGGGGGCGCACCAGCCCACCUGGGGCUGGUCCCCUUCCACACUUGGCCCAUGAAGCCCUCCGGGGCUGGUGGCCCCACUUGGUGGACCCCCGGGACCCUCCCGGUGGUCCCGGUACGUUACCGAUAAACCCCAAAACUUUUCCGGUGACCAAAAUAGGACUUCCCAUAUAUAAAUCUUUACCUCCGGACCAUUCCGGAACUCCUCGUGACGUUCGGGAUCUCAUUCGGGACUCCGAACAACAUUCGGUAACCACAUACAAACUUCCUUUAUAACCCCAGAGUCAUCGAACCUUAAGUGUGUAGACCCUACGGGUUCGGGAGACAUGCAGGCAUGACCGAGACGUUCUCCGGUCAAUAACCAACAGCGGGAUCUGGAUACCCAUGUUGGCUCCCACAUGUUCCACGAUGAUCUCAUCGGAUGAACCACGAUGUCAAGGACUUAAUCAAUCCCGUAUACAAUUCCCUUUGUCUAUCGGUAUGAUACUCGCCCGAGAUUCGAUCGUCGGUAUCCCGAUACCUUGUUCAAUCUCGUUACCGGCAAGUAUCUUUACUCGUUCCAUAACACAUCAUCCCGUGAUCAACUCCUUGAUCACAUUGUGCACAUUAUGAUGAUGUCCUACCGAGUGGGCCCAGAGAUACCUCUCCGUCACACGGAGUGACAAAUCCCAGUCUCGAUUCGUGCCAACCCAACAGACACUUUCGGAGAUACCCGUAGUGUACCUUUAUAGCCACCCAGUUACGUUGUGACGUUUGGCACACCCAAAGCACUCCUACGGUAACCGGGAGUUGCACAAUCUCAUGGUCUAAGGAAAUAUUGACAUUAGAAAAGCUUUAGCAUACGAACUACAUGAUCUAGUGCUAUGCUUAGGAUUGGAUCUUGUCCAUCACAUCAUUCUCCUAAUGAUGUGAUCCCGUUAUCAACGACAUCCAAUGUCCAUGGUCAGGAAACCGUAACCAUCUAUUGAUCAACGAGCUAGUCAACUAGAGGCUUACUAGGGACAUGGUGUUGUCUAUGUAUCCACACAUGUAUCUGAGUUUCCUAUCAAUACAAUUCUAGCAUGGAUAAUAAACGAUUAUCAUGAACAAGGAAAUAUAAUAAUAAUCAAUUUAUUAUUGCCUCUAGGGCAUAUUUCCAACAGUCAGAUUGUUCGGUGUUGGGCAGUGCGGUUGAGUCCGGGCUGUUAUUGCCGGGUUCCCCUUCCCAUACUACGGACGGCUUGAAUAGCCUUUCCAAGAAGAUGUUGGGAGGGACUGCAUCGCGUUUUGCGCCGAUGCGUGCCAGGACAUCCGCCGCCUGAUUAUUUUCCCGGGCUAUAUGGUGAAAUUCGAGCCCUUCGAACUGAGCUGACAUUUUUAAGACGAUGUUGCGAUAAGCUGCCAUUUUUGGAUCCUUGGCAUCGAAGUCUCUGUUUAUUUGGGACAUUGCGAGGUUCAAAUCCCCUCGCACUUCUAGGCGUUGAAUACCCAUGGAUACUGCCAUCCAGAGACCAUGUAAGAGGGCCUCGUAUUCGGCUGCAUUGUUGGAGUCUGUGUACAUAAUCUGGAGUACAUAUUGAACUGUGUCUCCUGUGGGGGACGUCAAAACGACGCCAGCCCCCAGACCGGCCAACAUUUUGGAGCCGUCGAAAUGCAUGAUCUAGUUUUAAUAUGUGCCGUACUCUUCAGGGAGUUCGGCCUCCGUCCAUUCUGUGACGAAGUCAGCCAAAACUUGCGACUUGAUAGCUCGCCGUGGCUUAUAAGUUAUGUCGAACGGGAGGAGCUCGAUGGCCCAUUUCGCAAUCCGGCCCGUUGCGUUGCGGUUCUUUAUAAUAUCGUUUAGUGGUACUUCUGAGGCUACUAUUAUUGAACACUCUUGAAAGUAGUGUCGCAGCUUCCGGGAUGCCAUGAAUACCGCGUACGCAAUCUUUUGAUAAUGUGGGUACCUUGAUUUGCACGGAGUGAGGACAGUGGACACAUAAUAGACCGGCUUCUGAAGGGGGAAUUUGUGUCCGUCGUUUCUCGUUCGACGACGAGCACUGCGCUCAGAACCUGAUGGGUUGCUGCAAUGUAUAAUAGCAUUGGUUCGCCAAUGUUUGGCGCGGCCAGGACUGGGUUUGUUGCCAAUAUGGCUUUUAUUUCGUCGAGUCCGGCCGUGGCUGCGUCCGUCCACUCGAAGUGUUCGGUGCGCCUAAGGAGGCGGUAAAGGGGGAGUGCCUUUUCUCCCAAGUGGGAGAUAAAGCGGCUUAGAGCCGCCACACAUCCGGUUUACUUUUGUAUUUGUUUGAGGUCCUUUGGGAUAUUCAAUUGUGACAGAGCUCGGAUCUUGGCUGGAUUUGCUUCAAUUCCUCUACCGAAUACAAUGAAGCCCAAGAGCUUUCCGGCUGGAACGCCGAAAACGCAUUUUUCUGGGUUGAGCUUGAUGUCGUAUGUUCGGAGGUUAUCAAAUGUGAGCCUCAAGUCAUCUACUAGGGAUUCGACAUGUCUUGUUUUUACGACCACAUCAUCUACAUAUGCCUCCACUGUUUUGCUGAUCUGGUUUGCCAGACAUGUCUGAAUCAUGCGCUGAUAUGUUGUUUUGAGCCCGAAGGGCAUUGUGUUGAAGCAGAAUGGGCCGUAUGGUGUGAUCAAUGUCGUUGCGGCUUGGUCUGAUUCUGCCAUCUUGAUUUGAUGGUAGCCGGAAUAUGCGUCGAGCAAGCACAACGAAUCGUGUCCUGCAGUAGCGUCGAUAAUUUGAUCCAUGCGGGGGAGGGGAAAGGGAUCCUUUGGGCAAGCCUUAUUAAGGUCUUUAAAAUCAACGCACAAGUGCCAGGAUUUGUCCUUCUUUGGUACCAUCACUAGGUUUGCUAGCCAGUCCGGAUGUUUUAUAUCUCUGAUGGAUCCGGCCUCUAAUAGCUUGGCUAGCUCCUCUCCCAUGGCCUGUCUCUUAGGUUCGGAAAAACGCCGAAGAGCCUGUUUGACAGGUUUGAAUCCUUUAGGAUAUUUAAGCUGUGUUCGGCCAGCCUGCGUGGGAUUCCUGGCAUGUCUGAAGGGUGCCAGGCGAAAAUGUCCUAGUUCUCACGUAGGAACUCUCGCAGUGCGGCGUCUACAUCAGGGUUUAAUUGUGCACCGAUGGAAGCUGUUUUAUUGGGGUCCGUUGGAUGGACCUGGAAUUUGACUAUUUUGUCCGCUGGUUUAAAUGAGAUGGACUUGGAUCUUUUGUCGAGUAUCACAUCAUCCCUGUUCACCGUGGAGCGCAGCGCAGUCAGCUCCUCAGCCGCUAGGGCUUAGGAUAGUGCCUCAAGGGCCAGUGCGGCUGUCUUAUUUUAGGCGCGGAGUGCUAUGUCCAGAUCACUAGCGAGAGUGAUGAUUCCGUUCGGCCCGGGCAUCUUGAGUUUCAUGUACCCAUAAUGGGGUAUUGCUUGGAAGAUUGUGAACGCUUCCCGCCCUAGCAGAGCGUGGUAUCCGCUACUGAACGGGACCACUUGGAACGUGACCUCCUCGGACCUGUAAUUAUCCGGCGUGCCGAACACCACAUCUAGUGUGAUUUUUCCUGUACAGCACGCUUCCUGACUGGGGAUUAUUCCUCUAAAGGUUGUGCUGCUUCGCUCAAUGCGGUUCCAGUCUAUUUCUAGUUUUUGAAGGGUUUCCUCAUAAAUGAGGUUCAAUCCGCUGCCUCCAUCCAUGAGUACCUUGGUAAGGCGAAAGCCAUCCACUAUUAGACUGAGGACCAAUGUGGCUGGUGCUCGGGCUGUUCGGAAUUUAGGUUCAUCACUGGCAUUAAAAGUAAUAGCCGUGUCACUCCAUGGGUUUAUUGUUGCUACUUGGUAGACUUCGACAAGGCUGCGGAGUGUUCUUUUUCGCAUAUUAUUUGAUGCGAAAGUCUCGAAGACUGUUAAUACCGUACCGGUAUCCCUGGGGUGGCUUUCUAUGGCCUCCGGAAUUAGGAGAUCUUCACCAAUUUUGGCCACCUGCCGGAGUAUCCAACAUGCUCUAAGGCUGUGAGUUGGUGUGGCGCCCUCUGUACUAUGAAUUUUACAGGGUCGAUUAAGCCAUCCUUCCAAUAUGCUUCCAUGCCCUGUAGAGGGUUUUUGCUUUUUGGUGUUUAACCGGGUGUCUGGCGAAGAUGCACCCUUUUAUUUCGGACUGGGUUUGUAUUCAGGGCCGGAUUGUCCCAAAAUUUUAUUUCGGUUUUCCAGGCGCUAUCCAUCGCACAGUACUUUCGUACUAUGGACACCAAGUCAGCGAAGCAUGUAAUAUCACGGCGACUUAUGGCGUUGAGGAUUCCCUUGUCCAUGCAAUUAUUGCAGAAGAAUGAGAUUGCGUCUUCCUCGCGGCAGUCCUUGAUCCUGUUCAUAGCCAGGAGGAAUCUGGCCCAGUAAUGAUGUACUGUUUCUUUGGGUUUUUGCCUAAUUUGGGAUAGAUCGCUUAUGUUCGGGUGGGUGGGUGGAAUUAAAUCCGAAACCUGACCCGAUCUGAGACUCAGAGGCCAAGGAGAUUCCGAACUCGGAAGUUUGGAUUCUUGGAUGUUGUCCAAUGAGUCUAGCCCGUCGCCUGACUCUAAGUUCAGGUCUUGAGUGAUGUCCUCCCCUCCGCGGGUAUCCGACUUGGAGGGAUCGGGAAUCCGGACAUAACUAGUCCUUAAGAUAGAUGAAGGGUCACCGCACUGUCCCUCUACCAUAGCAAUGUGAUGGGUGACCUGGGGAGAGUUAAUCUCUCUUAGAUCGGGUUUAGGCCCAAUCUGGUCAUAAUCCGUGGCAACUCCCAGGGCGGCGACGCGAUCCAAGAGCUCGUUUAUGGAAGAGAGCUCCAUUGUAUCUAACUGCUCGGCGAGUUCCGAGAUGACAUGAAGACUGCUUUUGAUGACCCGAGAGGUCAUCGUCGGCGCAGCAGCCGAACAGGCGGUCAUAAGAAAACCGCCUAGCCGGAGAGUUUGGCCGACAGCCAAAGCUCCCUUAGCAACGGUUCCGUCUUUAAAGACGGGAUGAGGCAUCCUUCCUGAUGGCGACGGCACAGAGGAACUCUCAAUGUAAGCACCAAUAUCGGUGUCAAAACCGGCGGAUCUCGGGUAGGGGGUCCCGAACUGUGCGUCUAGGCGGAUGGUAACAGGACACAAGGGACACGAUGUUUACCCAGGUUCGGGCCCUCUCGAUGGAGGUAAAACCCUACUCCUGCUUGAUUAAUAUUGAUGAUAUGGGUAGUACAAGAGUAGAUAUACCACGAGAUCAAGGAGGCUAAACCCUAGAAGCUAGCCUAUGGUAUGAUUGUUGUUGUCCUACGGACUAAAACCCUUCGGUUUAUAUAGACACCGGAGAGGGUUAGGGUUACACAGAGUCGGUUACAAUGGUAGGAUAUCUACAUAUCCGUAUCGCCAAGCUUGCCUUCCACGCCAAGGAAAGUCCCUUCCGGACAUGGGACGAAGUCUUCAAUCUUGUAUCUUCAUAGUCCGGGAGUCCGGCUGAAGGUAUAGUCCGGCUAUCCAGACACCCCCUAAUCCAGGACUCCCUCACCCAGGUUUUCAGCCAAGAUUAUAACUAACCAUGUCGACAAUAACUCUUAAACAUUAUAGUAACUCUUAUGAGUAGAGGCCGCGGGAAAAAGCCUAGUAGUAGCGCGGAUAAAAGACUAGUAGUAGUGCGGGUGCCCGUGCUACUACUAUGGCGCUACAGCUAACUCGUAGUAGUAGCGCAGGUGCCACCCGUGCUACUAGUACGUGUGUUAGUAAUAGCGCGGAUUCUACACACGCUACUACUAACUAUGUGUAGCGCCUGUCUGUGACCCGCGCUACUACUAUUAAUUUCAAAAACCAAAAAAAAAUCUCGACCCCGUGCAUGUUGUCAAUGGUGUCAUCCAGCGACGACAGGGGUUGCCGGAGGUGUGGACGGGUAGUGGCAGACCAGAUCCGGCGAUGGCUGUUGGAGAUGGCCGGAUCCAGUGUAGAGCAAGACGACGGUGUGAGGAUCCUCUUCGCGGUCAAGGCGGAGAACUCCUGGUUGGCCAUGUCGACGACCUGUGCAGGCAUGGGCAUGGGAGGUGAGUAAAACCAAAGGGAGAGGGAGAGGAGAGGGAGAGGGAAAAAGAGAAACAAGGGAGAAAGGAAGGAGAUGGAGGGCGUAUCGGGGCUGCAUGGAGGCGAGGAGGAAGACGGGCGAGCUCUUGGACGCCAGCGAUGCGAGGAGGAAGACGUUGGGUGCCAUGGAGGAGGAGAUGUUCUUGGGCAGGAGCACCAUGGAGAGAGGGGGAAAGUGAGGGAGAGAGGAGGAAAGUGAGAGAGGGGGAAAGUGAGGGAGAGAGGAGGGAUUCGGCCGAGGAUAUGGAGAUUUCAUCUACCUCGUACUUAGUAGUAGCGAGGGGUAUAAAACCGCACUACUACUAUCAACAUAGUAGUAGCAUGGGUUUGUACCCCUCGCUACUACUAUGGCAUGUCCCGGGAGGGCAUGGUAGACACCGCUUAGUAGUAUCGAGGGUGAAAAACCCGCGCUAAUAGUAUCAACUUAGUAGUAGCGAGGGGUAAAAACCCACGCUACUAGUAAGUAGCAGUAGCGACGGUUAUAAACCCGCGCUACUAGUAAGCGUCUGCCUAUAAGCUUUUCCCUAGUAGUGGCAUAUCUAUGACAUAAUCAACUAGCGAGCAAUAAUAAGAUAUCUCAAACAACAACACGUUGUGAAAACAACCAUGAUAUAAUAUGACAAUAGUGGUAUCUCGCUAGCCCUUUCUAAGACCGCAAAACAUAAAUGCAGAGCACCUCCAAAGUUCAAGCAGCGACUAAACAUUGUAAUUCAUGGUAGAAAAGAUCUAGUCUUGAUGCACCCAACAUUAGCAACACAUAGUGCAUCAGCAUGACAACAGUGCUCUUUGGAUUUGGCACUUAUUUUAGAAGGUGAUGACACAACAUAAAAGUAAAUAGAUAGUCCCUUCGCAGAGGGAAGCAGUGAUUUGCAGCUGUGCCAGAGCUCAAAAUUUUAAAACAGAGGUAAAUGAAAUUUUGGGAAAUUGAUACGUAUCCAAUGUAUCUAUAAUUUUUUAUUGUUCCAUGCUAUAUUAUAUUAUGUUUUGGAUGUUUAAUAGGCUUAUUUAUACACUUUUAUAUUAUUUUUGGGACUAACCUAUUAACCGGAGGCCCAGCACAAAUUGCUGUUUUUGUUCCUACUUCAGUGUUUCGCAAAAAAAAGAAUAUCAAAUGGAGUGCAAACGGAAUGAAACCUUCGGGAACAUGAUUUUUGAAACAAAUGUGAUCCAGAGGACUUGGAGUCCAUGUCAAGCAGUCAACGAGGAGGGCACGAGGCAGGGGGCGCUCCUACCUCCCCCUAGGCGCGCCCUCCACCCUCAUGGGGCCCACGUUGCUCCACCGGCGUACUUCUUCCUCCUAUAUAUACCUACGUACCCCCAAACCAUCAGGGGCAUCCACGAAAACCUAAUUCCACCGCCGCAACCUUCUGUACACGUGAGAUCCCAUCUUGGGGCCUUUUCCGGCAUCCUGCCGGAGGGGGCAUUGAUCACGGAGGGCUUCUACAUCAACACCAUAGCCACUCCGAUGAUGUGUGAGUAGUUUACCUUAGACUUUUGGGUCCAUAGUUAUUAGCUAGAUGGCUUCUUCUCUCUCUUUGGAUCUCAAUACAAAGUUCUCCACGAUUCUCGUGGAGAUCUAUUCGAUGUAAUCUUCUUUUGCGGUGUGUUUGUCGGGACCGAUGAAUUAUGGAUUUAUGAUCAAGUUUAUCUAUGAACAAUAUUUGAAUAUCCUCUGAAUUCUUUUAUGUAUGAUUGGUUAUCUUUGCAAGUCUCUUCGAAUUAUCAGUUUGGUUUGGCCUACUAGAUUGAUCUUUCUUGCAACGGGAGAAGUGCCUAGCUUUGAGUUCAAUCUUGUGGUGUCGUUUCCCAGUGACAGCAGGGGCAGCAAGGCACGUAUUGUAUUGUUGCCAUCGAGGAUAACAAGAUGGGGUUUAUAUCAUAUUGCAUGAGUUUAUCUCUCUACAUCAUGUCAUCUUGCUUAAAGCGUUACUCUGUUCUUAUGAACUUAAUACUCUAGAUGCAUGUUGGAUAGCGAUCGAUGUGUGGAGUAAUAGUAGUAGAUGCAGGCAGGAGUCGGUCUACUUGUCACGGACAUGAUGCCUAUAUACAUGAUCAUACCUAGAUAUUCUCAUAACUAUGCUCAAUUCUAUCAAUUGCUCGACAGUAAUUUGUUCACCCACCGUAAUACUUAUGCUUUUGAGAGAAGCCACUAAUGAAACAUAUGGCCCCCGGGUCUAUUUUCCAUCAUAUUAAUCUUCCAACACAUAGCCUUUUCUAUUGCCCUUUUUAUUUUACUUUGCAUCUCUAUUUCUCUUUAUCAUAGAAAUACUAAAAAUAUUAUCUUAUCAUAUCUAUCAGAUCUCACUCUCGUUAGUGACCGUGAAGGGAUUGACAACCCCUUUAUCGCGUUGGUUGCGAGGUUCUUAUUUGUUUUGUGUAGGUGCGUGGGACUUGAGCGUGGCCUCCUACUGGAUUGAUACCUUUGUUCUCAAAACUGAGGGAAAUACUUACGCUACUUUGUUACAUCACCCUUUCCUCUUCAAGGCAAAAAACAACGCAAUGCUCAAGAGGUAGCAAGAAAGAUUUCUGGCGCCGUUGCCGGGGAGUUUACGCAAAAGUCAACAUACCAAGUACCCAUCACAAACUCUUAUCCCUUGCAUUACAUUAUUUGCCAUUUGCCUCUCGUUUUCCUCUCCCUCGCUUCACCCUUGCCGUUUUAUUCGCCCUCUUUUCCGCUCGCCUUUCCUUCGCCAUGUCGGAACCAAAAAGAGUUGGGGGUUCUCUCCCGAGUUUUAGUACUUUGGACGAUCCUUCUAUUCUAUCUAAACUCAUAAAUAAUGUCAUGGUAAAACCUGCCGGAGUUGUCAAUGAGAGUCUUAAUAAUUUUGAUGAAGAUGAUUCCGGAAUUUUUCGUUAUUUACUCGAUGAAUCUUUGAAAGAUGCUUGGGAUAGACUGUUAAGGAUCCGGGCUAACUAUGUGCCCCAAUACCAAAUUGUAGUUUACUUGAAGAGCUUUUAUGUUGCCCUACCUUCUUCGUUUAAGCAUGUCUUAGAUUCUAUAUUUGAAGAAGGCUUUCUUGAAGGGGAUGCCGUAGAUACUUAUGAAAAGAUGAAGACCAUAUUCGGGCACCCCAUGAAUGAGAAAAUUGAAUCUACAUCUCUUUUGCUCUCCAGUCCUUGGUUCAUGUAAAUCUGAAUCUAGCCGGCACUACCCCUUCACAAGCUGUUGCAUAGUCUUCAGCGAGGUGCGGCAUAACUUCCGUGUGAGGGGAAAUGAACUUCUCCAUGAAUACCUUCUCUCUCACCUUGAAAGCGGUAUAGUAGUAGCCUGGGUUGCACUUGAGCAAUCCAUUUUCCAUGAGAAACUUUACAACGUAGUACCUGGGUUUCAUCCAGCCCUCCAGCUUGUAAUUGAUAAUUAUUGACCGUUGAGCAACGUAGGUAGGUUCCAACCUGUUAGACUAUGUAUAGCUUCUGUACCUAUGUACGUAUAUGGUACAUAUUGUAACACAACCAUUAUAUAUAAUGAGAUAAGCCACCCCUAGAGGGUUGUGCUGGUUCCCCAAAACUUAUUGUCUUACAUGGUAUCACGCUAGGUUACGAUCGCUUCCGCUUCUAAACCCUAAUACCCGCACCGCCGCCGCAGCCGCCGCCGCCUUCACCGCCGCCGCCGCGCCACCGAUCGCGCCGCCGCCAUGUCGAGCGCUGCCACCACCGGUUCCACUGCUGCGGGCUUCCUCCCGGCCUCUCUUGCGGCUCUGCUCAACCUCCCGCUCGAUGCCGUCUCUGUUCCGGCUCCGAUCGGGACAAGGAGCAUCGGCUCCGUCUUCUCCAUGCCGCCGGCGCCCUCGCUUGGGCGUGACCUCGUGGUCCACACCGCGGCGCCGCCGUCCGCUGCGGACUCCGCAGGCAUCGUCCCGCCGCUCCUGCCGCAAGCGGAUCACACUGCCCCGCUGGCGGGGUUGGCGGCGUCCGCCCCGGCCGCGGGCCUUGCGGCGUCCGCACCGGCCGCGAGCUUUGCGGCGCCCGCCCUGGCUGCGGUCCCGCCUCCUCCCGCAUCGGCUUCGGUGCCUCCAGCUGCCUCCAUGGUGUUUGCACCCCAGGCAGCCUCCUCGAUGGGAUUGUCUUCGCCGCUGCCGUUUCACUUCGGUCAUCUCAUCACCAUCAAGCUCUCCGCCGACAACUACAUCUUCUGGCGUGCGCAGGUUCUCCCGCUCUUGGGGAGUCACUACCUGCUAGGCUACAUCGACGGAUCGCUUCCCUGCCCACCCGCGCUGGUAGACAGCAUGCACGGUCCGGUCUACAAUCCGGCCCAUCGCGUCUGGACGGGGCAGGACCAGGCGAACCUCUCCUCCAUCCAGGGGUCGCUCUCGCCGGCAGUUGUCGGCCUUGUUGUCUUCGCGAAGACGUCUCAUGAGGCCUGGACCAUCCUUGAGCACACCUUUGCAGCGCAGUCCCAGGCUCGUGUCUCUGCACUCCGUCGUCAGCUUGGAGAGUGUCAGAAGCUUGACUCCACUGCCACUGAGUUCUACAACAAGGUCAAGGGCCUCGCCGACACAUUGGCCUCCAUUGGACAGCCCCUCACCGACUCCGAGUUCAACUCGUUUAUUGUCAAUGGUCUUGAUGAGGAGUAUGAUGCCUUAGUCGAGAUCAUCAACGAGCGGGGCAACUCGACACCCAUGCUGGCACACGAGGUUUUCUCUCGGCUCCUUCUCACUGAGCAACGGGUCGAGACUCGCCGCACCAGGGGCACUGGCUCCCUCUCGGCCAACGCCGCCACCAAGGGUGGCCGCUCUUCUUCAUCACCCCGGUCUCCCUUGGGGCUGCCACCGUCGCCCUCCUCGGCCCCCCACCUACUGCGACCUUACCGGGGGCUGGCGUUCCACGUGUGUGUCAGCUUUGUGGCCGCGAUGGGCACUGGGCCUCCAAGUGUCAUAAGCGCUUCCAGCGAAGCUUCCUUGGUCUUGGCAAUGACGGCAAAGAUACACGCAACAAUGCCCGUCAGGUCGCCAUGGCUGAUCGUCCCGCGCCGCAGAAGCAACAGGGACACACUCAGUCCUACUCCAUCGAUCCACACUGGUACAUGGACUCUGGGGCGAUAGAGCAUCUAACCAGCGAGAUGGGGAAGCUUCACACUCGUGAACCCUAUCAUGGCUCCGACAAGAUCCACACCGCCAAUGGAGCAGGUAUGCACAUCUCUCAUAUUGGUCAAGCAUCUCUUCUCACUAGACAUGCCAAUAGGAGUCUUCAGCUUCGCAAUGUUCUUCGAGUUCCAUCUGUGACCCGUAAUCUUCUUUCAGUUCCUAAACUCACACGUGAUAAUAAUGUGCUUUGUGAAUUUCACCCUUUUGAUCUUUUUAUUAAGGAUCGGGGCACGAGGGACAUUCUUCUUAGUGGGCGGUUGUGCCAGGGCCUCUACCGUCUGGAGCAUCCUGGUGUCGCUCGUGUUUUCAGUGGAGUUCGGGUCUCUCCGUCACAGUGGCAUGCUCGUCUUGGUCACCCGGCCACACCUAUUGUCCGUCAUAUUUUGCGUCGUCAUGAGCUUCCUAGUUUGUCUAGUCAUAAAGAUGUAGCAGUGUGUGAUGCUUGUCAGCAGGGGAAGAGUCAUCAACUUCCUUUUUCGGAGUCCAGUCGUGAGGUGAAACAUCCUUUAGAACUUGUGUUUUCAGAUGUAUGGGGUCCUGCUCAGACUUCUGUCAGUGGUCAUAAUUACUAUAUCAGUAGUCGCUUUACCUGGCUUUACCUUAUUAAACGCAAAUCUGAUGUGUUUGAUAUUUUUGUUCAGUUUCAAAAACAUGUUGAACGUCUUCUCAAGCACAAAAUUGUUCAUGUCCAGUCAGACUGGGGGGGCGAGUAUCGCAACCUCAACUCUUUCUUUCAGUCGCUUGGGAUAGCUCAUCGUUUAGCAUGUCCACAUACACAUCAGCAGAAUGGUUCAGUCGAACGUAAGCAUCGUCAUAUUGUUGAAGCUGGUCUUACUCUUUUGGCCCAUGCAUCUAUUCCGUUUCGGUUUUGGAGUGAUGCUUUCACCAUUGCAUGCUUUCUCAUCAACCAUACUCCUACUCGUGUUUUAAACAUGAAGACUCCCAUUGAGGUUCUCCUUAAUGAACAACCUGAUUAUACCUUUCUCAAGGUAUUUGGGUGUGCUUGCUGGCCGCAUCUUCGUCCAUAUAACAAGCGCAAGCUUGAGUUUCGUUCUAAGAAGUGUGUUUUUCUUGGCUAUAGCUCUCUUCAUAAAAGUUACAAAUGUCUUCAUGUUCCCACUAAUCGUGUCUAUAUAUCUCGGGACGUCGUGUUUGAUGAGCAUGUUUUUCCCUUUGCCAACCUUCCUGUGUCCACUGUCGAACCACCAUCCCUGCAUUCAUCCUCUGUUGCUUCUGACCAAUUUGAUGAUGUUGCAUACUCUCCUUUGCUGUUACCUAACCAUCUCCACUGCUCGGUCCGUUUCGCCAGCGGCCGCCGAGUCGCCCGCGACUCGGCCCGUCACGCCGUCUUCGCCUGCGGCUCGGCCCGUCACGCCGUCUUCGCCCGCGGCUCGGGUCCUCAUGUCGCCUUCAUCAGCGGAUCGGCCUGCGACACCGGCCGCGCCACGGCCCACUAUGCCGAGCUCGCCAUCGGCCCGGUCUGUGAUGCCGGAGUCGCCAGCUGCUUCGUCUGCUCUGCCGGUUUCGCCGGUGGGUCGGCCUUCUUCGCCAACCGAGUCCGAGGCUACCGUGACUGGCUCCUCGUCACCGGCUGACUCGUCAACGUCGCCGUCCUCCAGCCCGUUGCAGGCUGCUCCGUCGACCUCGGUGGUUCCUGUGUCCCGACCACAUACAUGCAGUCGCAGUGGCAUUUUCAAACCUAAGGAACGUAAGGAUGGUACGGUUGCUUGGUUGGCUGCUUGUUUGGCUGCUGCUGUUGCGGAUCCAUCUUCUGAGCCUCGCUCAUAUCAGGCUGCCCUGCGCAUUCCACAUUGGCGAGAGGCUAUGGAGCAGGAGUUUCAUGCUCUUCUUCGUAACAAGACAUGGACUCUCGUUCCUCCACCACCACGGGUAAAUGUUAUUGAAUCAAAAUGGGUAUUCAAAGUGAAGAAGCAUUCGGAUGGAUCUAUUGAGCGUUACAAAGCGCGACUUGUUGCUCGCGGUUUUCGGCAGCGUCAUGGUCUUGACUAUGAGGACACCUUCAGUCCUGUCGUCAAGCCUACCACUAUUCGACUUCUUCUCUCCAUUGUUGUUUCUCGUGGUUGGUCACUUCGUCAACUUGAUGUGCAGAAUGCUUUUCUACAUGGAUUUUUGGAGGAAGAGGUUUAUAUGAAACAGCCGCCUGGUUUCUCUGAUCCUGAUCGUCCUGACUAUAUCUGUCGUCUUUCCAAAGCACUAUAUGGUUUGAAGCAAGCUCCUCGUGCCUGGCAUGCCUGCCUUGCCUCUGCCCUUCGUGCUCAUGGGUUUGUGCCGUCUACUGCUGACACUUCGUUAUUUCUUCUACAGAAGCCAGAAGUCACUAUGUAUCUUUUGGUAUAUGUCGAUGAUAUUAUCCUUGUCAGCUCUUCUCAGUAUGAUGCUGAUGCUCUUGUCUGCUCUCUUGGUGCUGAUUUUGCGGUCAAAGAUCUUGGGAAGCUUCACUACUUUCUUGGAGUUGAGGUCACUUCUCGUGCUACUGGUCUUGUCCUUACGCAGAAGAAGUACUCCUUGGAGUUGUUACAGAGAGCUGGCAUGCUGAAGUGCAAACCGACCACCACACCCAUGUCGUCUACCGACAAGAUAACAGCUGCUGAUGGUGAGCUUUUGUCUCCUGCGGAUGCCACAGAGUACAGGAGCAUUGUUGGUGGACUUCAGUACUUGACGAUCACGAGACCAGAUAUCUCUUAUGCUGUUAACAGGGUUUGUCAGUAUCUUCAGGCUCCCAGAGAUACUCAUUGGGCUGCUGUUAAACGCAUUCUUCGUUAUGUUCAGUUCAUCCUGACAUUUGGUAUGCAUAUUCGGCCGACUUCCUCUCGGGUCCUUUCGGCCUUCUCUGAUGUAGAUUGGGCUGGUAGCCCAGAUGACAGACGAUCCACGGGGGGUUAUGCAGUAUUCUUUGGCUCUAAUUUGAUCGCCUGGAGUGCUCGGAAACAAGCUACUGUGUCACGUAGCAGUACUGAAGCUGAGUACAAGGCUGUGGCUAAUGCUACUGCAGAGAUUAUUUGGGUGCAGUCUUUGCUUCAGGAGUUGGGUUUGUCUCAACCACAGCCUCCUAUUCUUUGGUGUGAUAACAUCGGUGCUACAUACCUUUCUGCAAAUCCAGUAUUUCAUGCCCGAAUGAAACACAUUGAAGUUGACUAUCACUUUGUACGGGAACGUGUAUCACAGAAGCAACUCCAGAUCAAGUUUAUCUCAUCUAAGGAUCAACUUGCAGACAUCUUCACUAAGCCUUUACCGCUGCCACAGUUUGAGGCUUGUAGGCGCAAUCUUACCCUUCUCAGUUCUUUAGAAAGUGGCUAAGAUUGAGGGAGGGUGUUAGACUAUGUAUAGCUUCUGUACCUAUGUACGUAUAUGGUACAUAUUGUAACACAACCAUUAUAUAUAAUGAGAUAAGCCACCCCUAAAGGGUUGUGCUGAUUCCCCAAAACUUAUUGUCUUACACAACCCCACCUCAGAGAUGAGGAAAUCAGACCUGCGCUGCAGUAAUUCCUUUGACUUCCUCAGCAGACACGGAGCGUUACACACAACAAUGCUCACCUCAGCGUCUGACCACCUGAACAUCUUCUUCAAGUAGGCCACAUUGGCGGCGAUCUUCUCCUCGCUGAGGAAUCUGACAGUAUCCAGCGUGUGCCUGAACAUCCUGAGCCACGAGGCAUGCCAAGGCCUUCGGCGCAUGCCACCAUCGCCCUGACGUGUUCUGGCUUGUUGCUCAGGACACCCCGCGCGCGGAGGGACAACUUGGUGAUAUCGCAAUCAUCUAGCCCGCAUUGCCGUAGGAGCGCGACGUUGGGUUUGACCAUCUCCUCGAUGCUGUGUUUUGGUUUUCGGUUUGCGUUUUUUCUCGCCCCUGAACGAGAUGGCCGAAAUUCGGCCAUUUCAAAAAUCUCGGUAAAAUCUCGGACGAAAUUACAAAACCAAAAUUUGAAUUUUAAACGAAAUUUGACUAAAAAUUGGCCGAAAUUCGGCCGAAUUUUUUGAAAACAAGCAGAGCAAAUGUACAGCAGUCGAACAACACUGAGGAGUACAUGUAUGCGUUACCAAACUAGCUUUGGGGAUUAAUAACUCCAAAAGAAAAGAUUGAAACAAGGAUACAGAGAGGUGAUCCAGAGUUGAGGAGUUCCCGAUGGAUUCAGCCGCAGCCCGCAGCCGGCAGAGGUCAGCAGCAGGGGCCGGUCGUAGGAACGGCGAGAACGGGGUAGGAGCCGCAUGCUCGAGCGGGGAGGCAGGUGCCGACGAGCGGAGGAGCCGCGUAUUGGCGCAUCGCCGCCGCCGCAAACACAGGGGCCGCAGGGGAUCGUGGUUAGUUUAGGGUUCACGAGUUCGGUUCGAUGCUUUUAAUCCAGGCAAACCGUGGGGAGGCCCAGAAGUUGGACUGGGCCAGAAAAAAGUUUCAAUCUGGGCCGAAAGUUUUGGCCGGCACAGACAUUUACCGGGUCGAGGCGAGAUGACCGAAAUUCGGCCGAAAAUUGUUUUUUUCGGCCGAAAAUCAAAACACAGCCUCGAUGUCAGCGCCGGCGAGGUAGCCUUGCUUGAGCACCCGGAAGAGGUUCUCCGAGGAGCCGAAUAGGAGCAGGUAGUACCGCAAAUUGGAAACAAUGGACCUGGAACAGAAGUGGGCGAAGGAGAGCGCGACGAGGCGCACGAUCUCAGUACGCGAGAGGCCGAGGCCGGUGAGCCCACGACGACGGGGGCUAGAGUUUUCUCUACUUUGGCGCAGAGGAACAACGGGUCCUUGGCGACGAGGGCGGCGACGUCGGUGCCGGAGAGGCCGAGGCCGGCGAGGAAGGAAAGGACGGCGUCGGGCUUGGACGAGGACUUGAGGUGGGAGAGCUUGGCGGAGGCCUUGAGUGCCUGGGGUCGGGUGAGGCCGAAGGUGGAGACGAGGUAGUCGUCGACGACGAAGCUAGGGUUUGGGGAAACGCCGGGCGCGGCGGCCGCGGAGAGGGGGCGGUGGAGAGGGGGGCCUGAGAGGUGGCGGGGGAAGAGAGGAGCCGCACGAGGAUGCAGCCACGGAGGCGGAGCAUGGCGGCGGCGGCGGCGGAGAGAUUGAUUCCCUAUGGAGGCGGGUGCGAAUGGGAUGGUGCUUCGGAGGCGGGGAUGCGGCGCCCCGGCGAGGCAGGUGAGGAACGGAGGAAGAGAACAGGAGGAGAGAUCGAAGAGGAUGGCACUUCGGCGGCGGCGGCGGCGCCGCCGAAGAGAUUUUCCGGUCCGCUGUGAGUGGAGAGGAAAAAUGGGAAAUGGCAGGUGCGAUGCGAAUGGAGGCUCCGCAAAUUGCAAUAUCACUGAAUCCCAGGGGUCUUUACGUCUUUCAAAAAUACAAAAUACAUUUAAAAAAACAUACAUAAUACAUUGAGCCUCAUGGAAACUUUCAUAUACACAUGGAAAAUAGAUAUCCCCUCCGUUUAAUAAUGUAGUGCAUAUAGAUUUUUGAAAGUCGGACUUUGCAAAUUAUGAUCAAAUUUAUAAAGCGAACUACUUAUACCUACAUUAUCAAAUAUAUAAAAUAUGAACCUACGUCUUAUGAUGAAUCUAAUGAUAUAUGCUUGACAUUCUAGAUGUAAAUGUUUUUCUUCACAAACUUGGUCAAAUUUUGUUAGAUUUGACUUUUCAAAAAAUCUACAUGCAAUCAUUAUGCAAUCGGUAUUAUAAGGAAAAUGACUUUGAGCGAUAAGAUUAUAUCACAAAAUAAGCUAUUAUACGACUUGUACUUAUCCUAUGAUUUUUUUCUGUAGGUAUAGUACUUCAUCCGUUUUUAUUUACUUUGCAUAUUAGAGUUGACUGAAGUCAAACUUUGUAAAGUUUGACCAAGUUUAUAGAAAAGAAUAUAAAUAUUUACCCUAACAAACGAAAAUCUGCAUCUGAGCCCGGGCUCAGAUGUUCCCGCUCAGAAAAAAAUUCAAAACAAAUUCUAGAAAAAUUCAAAUAAAUCCAAUUUUUUGUGUGGUAGAUAAUUUGAUGCGUGAGGCCCGCUUCAAAUUUCAACUCAUUUGGAUAUCUGAGGAGCUCUCGGCAAAAAAGACAAAUCGGAUCAAAACAGUUCGUGAACAAUAAACUUUUUUACAGACCCGAUUUUGUCUUUUUGCAGAGAGCUGCUCAAAUGUCCAAACGAGUUGAAAUUUGCAGCAAACCUCACGCAUCAAAUUAUCUAUCACACAAAAAAUGGAAUUUUUUUGAUUUUUUCUAGUAUUUGUUUUGAUUUUUUUCGUCGGAGCGAGUGCAGUUGAGCCCGGGAGCCAAAUUGGCUUAUAUGAUGUGAAAGUAUGUUCAAUAAUGAAUGUAAUGGUAUUGAUUUGUUAUUGUACAUGUUAAUAUUUUUGACUAUAAACUUCGUCAAAAUUUAUAAAGCUUGACUUUGACCAAAACUAAUAUGCGGAAUAAAUAAAAACGGAGGGAGUAAAUGGCUAUGUUUUUUUUUGUACGUAGUAAAUGGUUACUUUUUCUGAUUUUUUUUAAAUGGUUAUGCUUGCUAACCAAUCCAAUUCAAAUUAUAUGUCGCUCAAACGGAUGUAUCUAAUUAAUAUGGAUCGGAUGGAGCAGAAAAGUUCAUAUGGAUAUAUAUUUUCUCAAAACUUGAAAGUAUGAUUUCUACAAGUAAAAAAAAAUCAUAUGUGAACUAUGUUUGUUUUUAGCAUUUUGUGUGCGUUCAUGUUUCUUUUUCUCUCUCUUCAUUCUAGCCUCUUUUCCUCCACCUCACUCUGUUCUCACAUUGACAUUGUUGCCUUUUUCAGUGGACUCCUACCUAUCUUUUCUAACUUUUGCAAGGUGAGAAUUGAGAAGGUUAUUAUUCUUUAGUUUUAUGUGUAUAGCUAUCCUAGAGUCGAGAUCAAUUGCAUCGUGUCCACUUAUCCUCUAUAACACUAAGCUUCCUAGUUUUAAAAAGCCCACACUCAAUUAAGGUCUCCAAUUAGAAUUGGAUCAUCCGAUUUUGAACGGGUCAACAAUUUCUCAAAGCUUCAUAAUCCAAUUUUUUUAUACUAUACCAUAUGCUUCCUAAUUUUUAAGGCCUCACAAUUAAUUAAGAUAUUCAAUAUAGAUUGAUCAUCCAAUUUUGACUGGGUCAACAAUUUCUCAACCUCUCCAAUUGAAUUCUUUUAAUUCACUAUAUUCCAAAAUUUUGAAUCUCUUUCAUUCAAUUGAGGUAUUCAAUUUUGAUUUGGUUGAAGAUUUUGAGUGGGCCAAUGAUUUUCAAAUCAAUCAGCUGCAACUGACCUAUAAAAACAUAUCAAUCCCAUGCACCCUUCCACCACAUAGAAAAAAGAAACGUCACCAUGUGAUAUUGUAGUAUCAAUAUAGUACAUGCAACCACCAACGCAGAAAUUUUUCCACAUAAAUAUAGGUUGGUUAGCGGAUGACACAGUCAUCUCCCCACCCGCCUAACUUAAUAUUCCAUCAGUUAUAAAAUAUGAAGGGUAUUAAUUUUGUAGAAAGUAAAACUUCUUUAACUUUGACCAAGUUCAGAGCAAAAAUAUCAACAUCCACAAUAUUAAACAAAAAAAGUAUGGAAAUUCAUUUCGUGAUGAAUCUAAAAAUACUGAUUUAAUCUUAUGAAUUUUGAUAUAUUUCUCUCAAAUUUGAAAAAACUUAAAAGGUUUGGCUUUUCAAAAAAAUACACCUUAUAUUAUGAAACAGAGUGAUUAGUUUCUUAAGAUACCCAAUAACAUGAACGGCGCAGCAAAGCGCGCAGAACCCUUCUAGUUAGUAGUAUAUCUAAGAACAAUUAGCAUCCCAUUGAUGAUCGAUAAACCUUCUUAGUCCAGCUAGUGGUUGGUUGUCUAGAGUAUAGCUGGCCAAAUGGGCCGGUUUUUUCGGGUCGGCCCGUGAGCACGCCGGCACGGCCCACCUUGGGCCAGGCACGGCACGGGCCAAACGAGCCAGGCCCAGCACGCGGCACGCCCUAGGCCGUGCCUGGGCUGGAGGCUGGGCAUGCGGGCCGGCACGGCACGGCCCGAUUAUGUUUUUUAUAUUUGUUAUACAUUUAUAUAUGAUCCAACAUGUAAAAAUAAGCUAAAAACGCUCAAUGCGUCAAAUAAUAGGCUAAAAAUAUGCGGCCCACCGUGCUAAAUGGGCCAACGUGCCGGCUCGUUUACUAACGGGCCGUGCCUGGGCCUGGGGGCGCAGCACGCGGGCCGGCACGGCACGGCACGUAUAGUAAUCGUGCCCUGGCGGACCGUGCCGGACCAGGCACGAUUAUGAUGGGCCGGGCCAUGCCGUGCCGGGCCAGCCCGUUUGGCUAGGUAUGGUCUAGAGAUCUAUAUGGAGUCAGUUGAGAUGGGAUGGUCAGCCAAGUGGGUUGAUCAAUGCUCCUCUUAAAAUUCGAAGCCUAAAGUAGAUGUGCUACUCGAGAAAUAAAAAGACCAACGUAGACCGUACCAACAUCUAAUAUUUGACGUCACAUUUAAAUUUGAUACUAUUCAUACCCAUAAUUGUCCCUUUGCUCAUCGAAUUAUGCAUCUUAUAUAAAUGUUGUAAAUGAUCAAUUUUUAUAAUAAUUUUAGGGUUGUAGUUCGGUGCAUAGGUAGCUCAGAGGAACCAUAGUCAUCGCUUCCUCUCCAAAAAAGCUUAGGGUUCCUAUGCCUCCCGCUGGCGCAGCUGCCGGUCCACCUCGUCUCCGGUGGCCCUAGGGUCAUGGGGACACGGUGAAUCUCAUCCCUUACCAGAGGGCUUCGUUUUUAGACGUUUCUUUGAAUUUUGUUAGGGUUGUGUCUUGCUAAUUAAGGAGGGCAAGACAACGACGGCUUCCUGAAGAUUGAAUAAGAUUCUCCCCGCCUAGCCCCCGUCUCGAUGGCGCAUCUAACAUCGUCGAAGAGUGUGUGGAGGUGUAUCUCCGCCAGAUCUCGCAGGAUUCGGUAGGUGGUUUGUCUUUGGUGGAUCUACUCGGACCCGGUCUUCGUUCGUCUACGUUUGUGUGUCGCUAGAUUGGAUCCUUCCGAUCUAUGGGUCUCUUCAUCGGCGGGGGUUGCUAUUCUAGUGCGCUGGUCCUACGAGGCCUUAGCACGACAAGUUCCCGACUGUGUACUACAAUAAGUUCUGCCCGGCUCCGGGGAGGGAAGGGCGAUGACGACGGUGCGUCUUCGGCUCGUUUUAAUGCUUGUAGUCUUUGCUAGAUGGUCUAAGGAUGAAUGUGAUUUUUAUUAUUCCUAUUGUUCAUUGUAUUGUCAUGAUUGAAAAUGAAUAUAUCAAAUGAUUUCUCAUAGAAAAGAAGCUCAUAAGAACCAUUAAAAGGACAAUCGUGUGGUCUCCCUAGACUUUUUUUUAGAAAAGGAGGAAGACCCCCGGCCUCUGCAUCUGAGCGAUGCAUACAACCACUUUAUUAAUUAUUCUCAAAAGACCUUACAAAGAAAUACAACAAUAAGUCUGAAGCCAUCAUCUAGGCAACAUCUGUUGCUACUCCUAUUCAUUUGAUGAAGGGAUGCUGAUAGUCUGGGCUUAAUACCAAACAGACCUCGCAGCCAAACCUAACAUCUAAGACCUGAGUUCCCAUCCAGGACGCCUGCCGGGUAUGGGUCACCCACCGGUCCGGCACACUCCUCAACAUGGACGCCUGCCGGGUAUGAGGCCGCCGCAGCCACCUGCCACCAAUCCAUCUUCAGAGAUGUAGUGUUGCAUCUACCUUGUCCGGUCUAGCUGCCGUCGACGCCACCACGAUGCCAGACAACGCCACCAUCCUGCGCUCGUCCAUCAACACACGCCCAGCAGCAAGAUCCCGCUGCUCUAUGCCCCUGAGACCCGCCAUUGUCGACGUAUCAGAUGCAACGCCGCUCCUCCUUCGCGAACACCACCUUCUACCACUGGUCCUAUCCCCUCCACCUGUAGAUCCUCUGAACUCCCAACCGAGCCCUAGUGCCCCUGACGACACCUCCAGGAAGGUCACGACGCAAAAAGCGCCGCUGCCGCCAGAUCCGAAAAGGAUUGAAGGUUUUCACCCGGCCGGGGAUCGGGGUGGAUAGAUUGGGCCCUCAGCUGCGCCUUCAUGAAGGAAAGCGGCACCCAUGAGCGUCGCCGCCGCCGGGCCGGCUAGACUGGCCAAGGUUUUCCCCGGACCCAAAGUACACCACCAGGGCUGACCACCACCGGAGCCUGCAGCCGUAAACCACCAGGACGACGACAGAGGCAGCAGGAGAAAGGGGAACCAUUAAAAGGACAAUCGUGUGGUCUCCCUAGAUGGUCCUUGGAGGGAGCGAUGCAAUUUCAUUUCCUUUUUAUUGCAUUCUCAUGGAUCUAUGGGAUACACAGAUUUGGAAUAGCCAUGCGUUAUAUAGGUUUGGAAAAGAUGAAUGGGCAGGACAAAGCCCAUCAAGGUCCACAGUUGGACAUGGUAUUUUUCUCUUCCCUGAUCUUGUGUGGUUGUUACAUUACAACGAGGACUAGAUGCAUUCAUGAACCUGAGGAGACUAUAUACGGUGAUUAUAUCGUGGCUAUCAUAUUUACCUAUUUUACAAAGAAUGAUCGGAUAUAAUUUACUGGUACAAUCCAUUGUGUGCCUUUCACGCUUCCGUCAGUUUAAUUUCCUCACAUUUUAAGUAGUCUUGUGAAGUUGUGAUCAGGUAGCUCGCAAUCUGAAUUUCUGUAAUGAAUUUUUUUUGGUCCAACGAGUAAAACGUAGACUUGGUGACCCUCAAAAGGGAUGAUAUUUUACAUAACGAGUAAAUCAUGAUGUCCUUAGAUAUUUCUUAUGAGUAUUUCUUCUUUUCUGCGGAAAAGUUUCUUGUCUUCCGAACUCUUGGAUGUGGGCAGAACUCUUGAUGAGCCGAGGCACCCGCGGCAUGCCAUUGUGAGUCAAGUUUGCCAUUGUUUGAUGGGAAGUUUUCAAGUGCUACAUGUAGAAGGACGCUAUAGUGGCUGCAAUCUUGCUGCUAAGUGACACGUACUGUCACCCUGUUUCUAAUGAAAAAAACUGAAGAACAAUGACUCAUUUAAACAUUGUUCAAUUUUGUGGUUCAUGAGCCUUUUCUUCAAAGUUUACUUAAAAGUUGGGUUAUUAGGUAAAAAAUGGUUCCUUUCCUUUUGUGCUUGCAAUUUAUUGUCCUGACAAAAACACUUUUUAUUGCAGUGCUAAGAAAAUGCGUCUACUACUUGACUGAACUAAAUACUCUUGAUAGCAAACCCUCUCUGGGCAUAUUCGUAGAUUCAAGGUGAGGAGACAUGCCAGCAUACAGACCAGCAACAUACAUGGCACAUGUACGACGUUCUAACAAGAGCAUAAAGUUGAUUGAUUCUUGAUAGCAUCACCUGAAUAUAUCACUCACGGAUUCAUGAAUGUUCCCCGUUGCAAUGCACGGCCAUUCACCUAGUAAAGGCAAUGAUUUGUUGGUAGUAGAGGCAUCUCAUGUUUCAAAGGGUUAAACCUUAGCCGUCGUGACCCGGCUCCAUGGCUGGGUCAAUCUCGCACCUCUGUUGGUGCCGAACCCUAGGCAAAUUCCCCCAAAUCUCUUGUUGUUUCUAUUGAUUGACCGAAUGUGAGGAGCAAUAGUAGAUCAAUAACUCUCGUAUAACCGAGGGAAAAAGAAAUGAAGAGAAGUUGGCGAAAGUAUCAAGUGGUACAUCUACUUUUUAUAACAUCACAUGAAGCCGGCGAAAAGGAAAGCCGAUCAACGAAGAAACUGCAUAGGGGACCUAUCAUGAGUGAACAUUGCGUGGGCGCCAUUGGCCGCAUCUCAUCAUCUUGUUGUGUAGAAGAAGAAAUGACUGCCGAUGCUGCUGGUGCCUCCAUCUCUAUGACCUUGCCGUCCAAGCCCGCAUUAGCAACAAACACGUAGCACUAGAGCACGGGAGGAGAGUUGAUCAGGGAAAUCGCCUUUCUUGACGACAGGAGAAUUAGUGAUGGGCGACUCCACGCGACGCUGAUGUGAUUUCAGGCCACACUAAAGGAUGUCGGAGAAGGGGGCCAUAGGACGAACUCAACCGCAUCGGUAGUGGGCUUGGUGGAUAUUGUGUCGAGGGCUCGGGGACGCACUCGGUGAUGGUGGUGGACCUCGGGGAGGGGGGCCUCAUACACGUGGAUGCAGGGGAAAAGAGGGUGCACGGGCUUGAAGGCAUUACUCAUCCACCUCUUCUGGCAAAGAGAGCUCAUCGGGGCCAACCGCGUGAAGGAGGAGCUUGAGGUAGCUUGGAGGAGGCGACGACGACAACCAGAUCCAUCUGGCAAGCCAGAGUGGAGGCAUCCCACGUGGGAGCAGUGAUUUCGGUGCCUAAGCUUAGAUGCACCUGCUAUUAUGUUUGUUCAUUGCUGCAUGGAGAUUCAGGAAAUGGGGCAUGAGGUGGCAUUGCUAGGGCGUGGAAAAUCCCCAAAAUGAACUAUACAUGCAUGAAUAGUGUGAUACAUGUGGGUCUAUCGUGUAGCACACGAGGAGGGUUCGAACGAAGGACAGACGGUGCCAUCUUGGUUGGAUUCUGAUCCAUGGCACCUAAUCGUCUGCAUUCAUCUAAGUCGUGGCUCACUCUGCUGCCUGUGGCAUGACUUUGACACUUUGAAUCCGAGUCAUGGCCUAAAGAUUUGUGUAGCUCCAGUUGGGGCCUGCGGUGUAGGAUCGUCGGUACGCACACCGAAUGUCAUCCACGACCGACGUCGGCCAACAGAUUGCUAGCUUACUAGACGCUACAAGAGGUAGCGUCCUUCGUGAAGUUUGUGUGCUUCAACACCAACCAGGUCAUCCUAAGCCGUCAUGGACAACCCAUUCAUCUACGUGGUUGACUUCAACAUUGGAGACGACUUCUCAUGGUCGUUGCUCAUGUCACACCUUGCUCACCAUGGCAACAAGCUGUUUCAUGUCACGUCACUUGCCACCACAUUAAUGCACCGCGCGGAUACGCAUGCACCUACAAUCGUGCAUGGUGUCCCUCAGAGUUCACGCGCGUCCCUAGGGGCUCCCAUUCCAGUACGACGAGAAGGACCUCCUGGUCUGGGCUGGAAGUCACGUAAUGGUACCUACAACAAUCUCGAAAAGAGUAGAAGGCCUGGAUUUCGAGAGCAUCUGAGCUCGCACUUAGAAAUCUAUUUUUGUUCCCACGGUCCAUACAUAGAGAGAAACUAGAAAAGAAAAUGCAAAACACGCAUACAUGCAUGCAUGCUUCCACAAAUGGGUUACCAGAUACCUUUCUGGGGCUCUGGUGACCUCACAUUCAUUGUUGACCCCUUACGACCUCACAAUCAUGGGAGAGAUUUCAUGACCGCACACUGUCUCUAUAAAAGCCUAUCACCUCUAUGAAUCAUGUGGCUCCAUCAUUUCAAAUCCUCCGCGCGCCUAAGAUACCACUUGAGAAAUUACUAAUGGCCAACGGAAAGAAUGUCAUGGCCAUGUUGUUUCUCACCACCAUUGUGGCGGUGGCGGCCACAAGGCCAGCCGAGACCUAUGGCGCUGCGGAGGAGAACACAUUGAAGAUGGCUACCCCCAGCAAGAAAGGGGUUGACGCUACCUUAGCAGCUACACGUGUUGUUGCCGCCGAGAAGUCCAUCAAGAAGGCUGAAAGCGCCACCACACCAGAAGAGGCCGCGACUGCCAAGCAAGAUGGAGCAAAAUCUGCUUCUGCUGCAUUAAAGUACAAUGCCAUCUCUCAGCAGGCAAAUGGUAAAGGUUCUUCUACCUCCCUAGGCAGGAAAGAAGCAGCCGGUACUUUAGCCGCCGCACACUAUGCCGCCGCCGAGAAGUCCAUCAAGAAGGCCGAAACCGCCAAGACACCUGCAAAGGCCGUGGCUGCCAAGCGAGACGCAGCAAAGUCUGUUGACAAUGCAUUAAAGUAUGAUGCCAUCUCUCGGAAAGCAGCUGGUACAAGUUCUUCUACCUCCCCCAAUAGGAAAGAAGGCACCACUGAUGCUGCUAAGAUGUUCACCAAGAAGGCUGAAACCGCUACCACACCUGAAGAGGCCGCGAAUGCCAAGCAAGCUGCAGCCAAGUCUACCGCUGCUACAUCAAAGUAUGGUGUCAUUUCUCAGCAAGUAGCUGGUACAAGUUCUUCUACCUCCCCUAGCAGGAAAGAAGCUGCCGGUACCUUGGCAGAUGCUCACAUAGCUACUGCCGAGAAGUCCAUCAAGAAGGCUGAAACCGCCACCAGACCUGAAGAGGCAGCAUCCGCUAAGAAGGAUGCCGCGAAAUCUGAGGCUAAUGCAAUGCAGUACGGGGCCAUCUCUCAGCAGGCCACCGGCAAAAAUGGUGCCUAAGUGGUGCCUUAAACACCUAUUCACGCGCAACAUCAUCUACAUACUACCAUGCACGCAAAAUAGCAGCAUUGAGAUACCACGUUAUGCUAAUUCUCAUGCAUGCAUGCUUUGUUUAAACGUUCACAUUAUGAAUCAUGUAUUAAUGUCUUGCUUGUUUUAUUUUUAGUAGUAAGACACGCUUGACUUGCUUUAAAAAAAAUACAACAAUCGAUGUAUACAUGUAUCAUCUGAAAAUUAAUAAUAUGAGUUCCACCACAAUUUGUGUCUUUUUGUCAUAUUUUGGGUGCAAUCAAUGCACACAUCCAAUACACAAAAUUGGACGAGUCAAUGUGUUAUGGCUCCAUGGAGCGGCGAAUCAUGUUUUAUUGUCUUGCUUGUUUUACUUUUAGUAGUAACUAG
RNAcentral lists this long non-coding RNA (42215 nucleotides) under Triticum aestivum (bread wheat). Its description in RNAcentral is "long non-coding RNA (TAES_LNC009586)". Lineage: Eukaryota; Viridiplantae; Streptophyta; Magnoliopsida; Poales; Poaceae. The record is from RNAcentral.